AGAGUUUGAUCCUGGCUCAGGAUGAACGCUGGCGGCGUGCCUAAUACAUGCAAGUCGAGCGAACGGACGAGAAGCUUGCUUCUCUGAUGUUAGCGGCGGACGGGUGAGUAACACGUGGAUAACCUACCUAUAAGACUGGGAUGACUUCGGGAAACCGUAGCUAAUACCGGAUAAUAUUUUGAACCGCAUGGUUCAAAAGUGAAAGACGGUCUUGCUGUCACUUAUAGAUGGAUCCGCGCUGCAUUAGCUAGUUGGUAAGGUAACGGCUUACCAAGGCAACGAUGCAUAGCCGACCUGAGAGGGUGAUCGGCCACACUGGAACUGAGACACGGUCCAGACUCCUACGGGAGGCAGCAGUAGGGAAUCUUCCGCAAUGGGCGAAAGCCUGACGGAGCAACGCCGCGUGAGUGAUGAAGGUCUUCGGAUCGUAAAACUCUGUUAUUAGGGAAGAACAUAUGUGUAAGUAACUGUGCACAUCUUGACGGUACCUAAUCAGAAAGCCACGGCUAACUACGUGCCAGCAGCCGCGGUAAUACGUAGGUGGCAAGCGUUAUCCGGAAUUAUUGGGCGUAAAGCGCGCGUAGGCGGUUUUUUAAGUCUGAUGUGAAAGCCCACGGCUCAACCGUGGAGGGUCAUUGGAAACUGGAAAACUUGAGUGCAGAAGAGGAAAGUGGAAUUCCAUGUGUAGCGGUGAAAUGCGCAGAGAUAUGGAGGAACACCAGUGGCGAAGGCGACUUUCUGGUCUGUAACUGACGCUGAUGUGCGAAAGCGUGGGGAUCAAACAGGAUUAGAUACCCUGGUAGUCCACGCCGUAAACGAUGAGUGCUAAGUGUUAGGGGGUUUCCGCCCCUUAGUGCUGCAGCUAACGCAUUAAGCACUCCGCCUGGGGAGUACGACCGCAAGGUUGAAACUCAAAGGAAUUGACGGGGACCCGCACAAGCGGUGGAGCAUGUGGUUUAAUUCGAAGCAACGCGAAGAACCUUACCAAAUCUUGACAUCCUUUGACAACUCUAGAGAUAGAGCCUUCCCCUUCGGGGGACAAAGUGACAGGUGGUGCAUGGUUGUCGUCAGCUCGUGUCGUGAGAUGUUGGGUUAAGUCCCGCAACGAGCGCAACCCUUAAGCUUAGUUGCCAUCAUUAAGUUGGGCACUCUAAGUUGACUGCCGGUGACAAACCGGAGGAAGGUGGGGAUGACGUCAAAUCAUCAUGCCCCUUAUGAUUUGGGCUACACACGUGCUACAAUGGACAAUACAAAGGGCAGCGAAACCGCGAGGUCAAGCAAAUCCCAUAAAGUUGUUCUCAGUUCGGAUUGUAGUCUGCAACUCGACUACAUGAAGCUGGAAUCGCUAGUAAUCGUAGAUCAGCAUGCUACGGUGAAUACGUUCCCGGGUCUUGUACACACCGCCCGUCACACCACGAGAGUUUGUAACACCCGAAGCCGGUGGAGUAACCUUUUAGGAGCUAGCCGUCGAAGGUGGGACAAAUGAUUGGGGUGAAGUCGUAACAAGGUAGCCGUAUCGGAAGGUGCGGCUGGAUCACCU
This 1540-nucleotide ribosomal RNA is filed under the name Staphylococcus aureus M81490. RNAcentral describes it as "16S ribosomal RNA". It matches the Rfam family "Bacterial small subunit ribosomal RNA". Lineage: Bacteria; Bacillati; Bacillota; Bacilli; Caryophanales; Staphylococcaceae. RNAcentral also lists the same sequence under 1 other name. The record is from RNAcentral.